GGUUGUAGCUCAGUGGUAGAGUGCUUGGCUAGCAUAGGAGAGGCUCUGGGUUUGAUCCUCAGCACCA
This 67-nucleotide transfer RNA is filed under the name Marmota monax (woodchuck). Its description in RNAcentral is "tRNA.Ala". The record is from RNAcentral. Lineage: Eukaryota; Metazoa; Chordata; Mammalia; Rodentia; Sciuridae.